GGGUUGUGAGGUUAAGCGACUAAGCGUACACGGUGGAUGCCCUGGCAGUCAGAGGCGAUGAAGGGCGUACUAAUCUGCGAUAAGCGCCGGUAAGGUGAUAUGAACCGUUAUAACCGGCGAUACCCGAAUGGGGAAACCCAGUGUGAUUCGUCACACUAUCAUUAACUGAAUCCAUAGGUUAAUGAGGCGAACCGGGGGAACUGAAACAUCUAAGUACCCCGAGGAAAAGAAAUCAACCGAGAUUCCCCCAGUAGCGGCGAGCGAACGGGGAGGAGCCCAGAGCCUGAAUCAGCAUGUGUGUUAGUGGAAGCGUCUGGAAAGGCGCGCGAUACAGGGUGACAGCCCCGUACACAAAAGCGCAUGUGCUGUGAGCUCGAUGAGUAGGGCGGGACACGUGGUAUCCUGUCUGAAUAUGGGGGGACCAUCCUCCAAGGCUAAAUACUCCUGACUGACCGAUAGUGAACCAGUACCGUGAGGGAAAGGCGAAAAGAACCCCGGCGAGGGGAGUGAAAAAGAACCUGAAACCGUGUACGUACAAGCAGUGGGAGCCCCACCACCAAAGCAUUUGCUGUACCGCGUUGACGGAGCGAAGCGACGUCAAACCGAUAAAACAGCAGUGUAAAGUGAGCCGCAGGGCGCUUUGCGCGACAGCGCAAAGGCAGGCGGUUUCGCGUAGCGAAAGCGAAUGCUUUGGGGUGGGGUGACUGCGUACCUUUUGUAUAAUGGGUCAGCGACUUAUAUUCUGUAGCAAGGUUAACCGAAUAGGGGAGCCGGAGGGAAACCGAGUCUUAAUUGGGCGUUAAGUUGCAGGGUAUAGACCCGAAACCCGGUGAUCUAGCCAUGGGCAGGUUGAAGGUUGGGUAACACUAACUGGAGGACCGAACCGACUAAUGUUGAAAAAUUAGCGGAUGACCUGUGGCUGGGGGUGAAAGGCCAAUCAAACCGGGAGAUAGCUGGUUCUCCCCGAAAGCUAUUUAGGUAGCGCCUCGUGAAUUCAUCUCCGGGGGUAGAGCACUGUUUCGGCUAGGGGGCCAUCCCGGCUUACCAACCCGAUGCAAACUGCGAAUACCGGAGAAUGUUAUCACGGGAGACACACGGCGGGUGCUAACGUCCGUCGUGAAGAGGGAAACAACCCAGACCGCCAGCUAAGGUCCCAAAGUCAUGGUUAAGUGGGAAACGAUGUGGGAAGGCCCAGACAGCCAGGAUGUUGGCUUAGAAGCAGCCAUCAUUUAAAGAAAGCGUAAUAGCUCACUGGUCGAGUCGGCCUGCGCGGAAGAUGUAACGGGGCUAAACCAUGCACCGAAGCUGCGGCAGCGACGCUUAUGCGUUGUUGGGUAGGGGAGCGUUCUGUAAGCCUGCGAAGGUGGCCUGUGAGGGUUGCUGGAGGUAUCAGAAGUGCGAAUGCUGACAUAAGUAACGAUAAAGCGGGUGAAAAGCCCGCUCGCCGGAAGACCAAGGGUUCCUGUCCAACGUUAAUCGGGGCAGGGUGAGUCGACCCCUAAGGCGAGGCCGAAAGGCGUAGUCGAUGGGAAACGGGUUAAUAUUCCCGUACUUGGUGUUACUGCGAAGGGGGGACGGAGAAGGCUAUGUUGGCCGGGCGACGGUUGUCCCGGUUUAAGCGUGUAGGUGUGUGUUCCAGGUAAAUCCGGUUCACUUUAACACUGAGGCGUGACGACGAGGCACUACGGUGCUGAAGCAACAAAUGCCCUGCUUCCAGGAAAAGCCUCUAAGCAUCAGGUAACAUCAAAUCGUACCCCAAACCGACACAGGUGGUCAGGUAGAGAAUACCAAGGCGCUUGAGAGAACUCGGGUGAAGGAACUAGGCAAAAUGGUGCCGUAACUUCGGGAGAAGGCACGCUGACACGUAGGUGAAGUGAUUUACUCAUGGAGCUGAAGUCAGUCGAAGAUACCAGCUGGCUGCAACUGUUUAUUAAAAACACAGCACUGUGCAAACACGAAAGUGGACGUAUACGGUGUGACGCCUGCCCGGUGCCGGAAGGUUAAUUGAUGGGGUCAGCGCAAGCGAAGCUCCUGAUCGAAGCCCCGGUAAACGGCGGCCGUAACUAUAACGGUCCUAAGGUAGCGAAAUUCCUUGUCGGGUAAGUUCCGACCUGCACGAAUGGCGUAAUGAUGGCCAGGCUGUCUCCACCCGAGACUCAGUGAAAUUGAACUCGCUGUGAAGAUGCAGUGUACCCGCGGCAAGACGGAAAGACCCCGUGAACCUUUACUAUAGCUUGACACUGAACAUUGAGCCUUGAUGUGUAGGAUAGGUGGGAGGCUUUGAAGUGUGGACGCCAGUCUGCAUGGAGCCGACCUUGAAAUACCACCCUUUAAUGUUUGAUGUUCUAACGUGGACCCGUUACCCGGGUUGCGGACAGUGUCUGGUGGGUAGUUUGACUGGGGCGGUCUCCUCCUAAAGAGUAACGGAGGAGCACGAAGGUUGGCUAAUCCUGGUCGGACAUCAGGAGGUUAGUGCAAUGGCAUAAGCCAGCUUGACUGCGAGCGUGACGGCGCGAGCAGGUGCGAAAGCAGGUCAUAGUGAUCCGGUGGUUCUGAAUGGAAGGGCCAUCGCUCAACGGAUAAAAGGUACUCCGGGGAUAACAGGCUGAUACCGCCCAAGAGUUCAUAUCGACGGCGGUGUUUGGCACCUCGAUGUCGGCUCAUCACAUCCUGGGGCUGAAGUAGGUCCCAAGGGUAUGGCUGUUCGCCAUUUAAAGUGGUACGCGAGCUGGGUUUAGAACGUCGUGAGACAGUUCGGUCCCUAUCUGCCGUGGGCGCUGGAGAACUGAGGGGGGCUGCUCCUAGUACGAGAGGACCGGAGUGGACGCAUCACUGGUGUUCGGGUUGUCAUGCCAAUGGCACUGCCCGGUAGCUAAAUGCGGAAGAGAUAAGUGCUGAAAGCAUCUAAGCACGAAACUUGCCCCGAG
This 2927-nucleotide ribosomal RNA is filed under the name Salmonella enterica subsp. enterica serovar Enteritidis. RNAcentral describes it as "partial 23S ribosomal RNA". It matches the Rfam family "Bacterial large subunit ribosomal RNA". The record is from RNAcentral. Lineage: Bacteria; Pseudomonadati; Pseudomonadota; Gammaproteobacteria; Enterobacterales; Enterobacteriaceae.